Amphiprion ocellaris (clown anemonefish) is the source of this 1362-nucleotide long non-coding RNA. The record is from Ensembl. NCBI's taxonomy places the organism in Eukaryota, Metazoa, Chordata, Actinopteri, Pomacentridae.
UUGAUUUUUACAAUAUAUUUAAUUCGAUUUUUUUCUUACAAAACAAUUCCCUCAUAAACCAGAACACACAAAAUGCAUAAAGAAAACUGUACAGUCAGUUUUGUCAUGUCUGAACGUGUUCUAAACAUGAACAAUGUUAUCUACAACAGUGGUUCCUAUCAAUGUCUAUCACACCAAGCGGUUCAGCUCUGCAGCCCCUUGCUUCAGGGUUAAAGGAGAGGUACGGAAAUAGUCAUGUGACACUGAAGGUAGACCCAAACAAACAACGUGAGCUAGCCAAUAAUGUAGUUCUAUCAGCAAGCACAGGUGCAGUCUCUUUGCUCUUGCUCUCCUUGGCUCUAGCAGCGAUGUCUUACUGCUGAAUCGACCUUAAGAGAGAAGCUGACAGAUGUGACAAUGAGAGGGCAGAAAAGUGACUUUUUCACAAGCAACGGUAAACUGUAUGUGACUGUGAAAGAUCACUGAGAGGUCAAUGGUAAUCAUGUUGAAGAUCUAUUUUCAUUACAUGCAUGUCUCUGAGCUGUUGAACACUGUCGGUUACUCGUUUAGGGCCAUCAGGGACUUUGGAUGGGGUAGUGACUUUAGGAAACUUCAGAGCCUGAAUCUUCUUUUUUUCAUUUAGACAGAAAACUAGAUUACCAAUUUAACAAGUUUCCAUUCACAUAGCUUAGAUGUAUCGCAGAUAUAUAUUUCUGUCCUCAGUGCAACAGUGGUCUAGGAAACAUUGAGUCUUUGCCUUCAAAAAGACCAUCAUGCCAGAAAGGUUUUCGUGGCAGAUUAGCAGCAAAUACCGAAGUCACAAACAAGAACGACAAAUCUGCUUCACUCCUGUGUUUACUUUUUCUUUUCUUGCACAGCUUGGUUUCUACCCUACACAUUGCAUCCCAUUGGGGAGUUACAGGCACAACUACAUAUUAGGAGAAGAUGAUUAAUAUUUAAUUUAGGUUGCUGUUUGUGGGGAGGGGAAACACACACAAGCAGAUACAGUAAACUCCAUUCACAAGACUCCAGUUGGAUUUACAGUGGUUUGUUUCUCCUAGAGUACUCACGUGAAGCGUGUUAAAGCUGGACUUUGACAUCGUGAUCUGUGGAGAUAAAUACAACUUUAAUCUCACUUCUUUCAAGCAUGUUUGACCCGCCAAAAAAUGGUCAGCAACUGCAAAAUCCCAAAGGCUGUGAGUAUUUGUGCUGUGAUGCUGAAGUACAUCCCAGAUUCUAUUUUACUUCAAAGGCAAGUUCACACUGAGGCUCACGCAAGAACAUUUUCAGUUUGGUUGGAUUCACUAAACUCUCUUAAGUAUACAAAUGUGUCGAGUUUAAGGACUGAACAUGCUGUACUAAAAUGUGCCUCAAUUCUAACAG